UCUGGAGAAAGGAUAAUCGCGCCUCCGAAGCUCGUAAGAGCGAAGGGGUGAGGAAAGUCCAGGCAGCAGAAGACAGGGUGUCCCGGCUAAUAUCGGGAACGGGUAACCGCUAGUUAGAGCAACAGAGACGAGUCUUUCAUCAGCCUAAAGCUGAUGAAAGGGUGAAACGGGCAAUCCUCCCCGCUGCAACCUCCGAAUUGGACCACGGGAUGUCUUCCCCACGUCCUAAAGCAUGAGGGCAUUAGACAGAUGAUUAUCUAAAACAGAACCUGGCUUACUACUCUCCAGAAUAU
RNAcentral lists this RNase P RNA (293 nucleotides) under Candidatus Woesebacteria bacterium. RNAcentral describes it as "RNase P RNA component class A". It matches the Rfam family "Bacterial RNase P class A". Rfam says of the family: Ribonuclease P (RNase P) is a ubiquitous endoribonuclease, found in archaea, bacteria and eukarya as well as chloroplasts and mitochondria. Its best characterised activity is the generation of mature 5'-ends of tRNAs by cleaving the 5'-leader elements of precursor-tRNAs. Cellular RNase Ps are ribonucleoproteins. The record is from RNAcentral. Lineage: Bacteria; Candidatus Woeseibacteriota.